This 489-nucleotide ribosomal RNA is filed under the name uncultured bacterium. RNAcentral describes it as "partial 16S ribosomal RNA". It matches the Rfam family "Bacterial small subunit ribosomal RNA", at positions 30 to 507 of the family's 1533-position model. The record is from RNAcentral.
AUUGAACGCUGGCGGCAGGCCUAACACAUGCAAGUCGAACGGUAACAGGGAUCAGCUUGCUGAUUCGCUGACGAGUGGCGGACGGGUGAGUAAUGUCUGGGAAACUGCCUGAUGGAGGGGGAUAACUACUGGAAACGGUAGCUAAUACCGCAUAACGUCGCAAGACCAAAGAGGGGGACCUUCGGGCCUCUUGCCAUCGGAUGUGCCCAGAUGGGAUUAGCUAGUAGGUGGGGUAACGGCUCACCUAGGCGACGAUCCUAGCUGGUCUGAGAGGAUGACCAGCCACACGGGAACUGAGACACGGUCCAGACUCCUACGGGAGGCAGCAGUGGGGAAUAUUGCGCAAUGGGCGCAAGCCUGAUGCAGCCAGGCCGCGUGUAUGAAGAAGGCCUUCGGGUUGUAAAGUACUUUCAGCGGGGAGGAAGGGAGUAAAGUUAAUACCUUUGCUCAUUGACGUUACCCGCAGAAGAAGCACCGGCUAACUCCGUG